This 376-nucleotide long non-coding RNA is filed under the name Polistes fuscatus (common paper wasp). RNAcentral's name for it is "uncharacterized LOC122522157". The record is from RNAcentral. Lineage: Eukaryota; Metazoa; Arthropoda; Insecta; Hymenoptera; Vespidae.
UAUCGACAGGUUUAAGAAUCGUGAUAGUUUUCGUUGUAUCAAUUUUCAUGCGAUAAAUAUUAUAUAUUUUUCUAAUAAAAAAAAUUUAUUAACGGUGCUAAUAAACAAUAUUUGCAACGCGAUAGACAAUUGUUAUUAAUUAAGAAAAUAUACGUCGAGAGAUAUUUGAAGGAAAUUUUCUUAAAGAUUUGGAAAGUGUACGAUCGAGUGAAGAAGUAGGAGCGAUCGGUUGGAAAGACAACGAAUACAUUUUAUGAUGAUUGCGAAAGAAAACAACAAAAAAUAAACGAACGAACGAGCGAACGAACGAAAUCAUUAUCCUGAUUAAUGCUAGAUCGACGAGAAACAUAGUAAUUCAAUCAUAUAAAAAGAAAAA